AAGAAAUUGAAGAAUUCUGCUUCGGGUGGCCGAGGCGUGGGUGGCACGCCAGUAGAAACGCUGCACCCCGCCCCUGAGAUAGCUCGGACACCAGGCGCCGCGCUCCGGGCUUCUCACGAGGUAGUCCGCGGGAGGGGUCGUCGCGAGCGCGCGCGGGGUCUCACGCGGCUCGGAAGCUCAGCGCGCAUGCUCCAUUGGCCAACUCUCCGGGAGGGGCGGGAGACCCAGAGCUCAGUAGCCGGGGGGGAGGAGCGCUCGCGCAGCCGCCCCUGACGGGAGCGGGCUCCGCCGCUACUGCAGCGCUCAGCGCCGGGCCCUGCCGGAGCCGGGACUAGCAUGUGCGGCGCCUCUCGGGAGGCGGCGGCGGCGGCGGCUCCUCUGCAGCAGCAGCGGCGGCGGCGGCAGCAGCAGCGGCGGCCGCCAUGGCCAAGGCCAGCGUGGAGCUCACCCGCGAGCUGCAAGACAGCAUCCGGAGGUGCCUGAGCCAGGGGGCUGUGCUCCAGCAACAUCGUGUGAAACUGGAGACAAAACCCAAGAAGUUCGAAGACAGAGUGCUGGCCCUGACUUCCUGGCGUCUCCACCUUUUUCCCCUUAAAGUUCCAGCUAAGGUGGAAAGCUCAUUCAAUGUCCUGGAGAUCCGUGCCUUCAACACACUCAGUCAGAAUCAGAUCCUGGUGGAGACUGAGCGUGGCACGGUGAGCAUGCGGCUGCCAUCCGCCGAGAGUGUGGACCAGGUGACACGGCAUGUGAGCUCUGCCCUCUCCAAGGUCUGCCCUGGCCCUGGGUGAGUGGCAGACAAGGGGUCUCCCAAAGGAUUAGACUAAAGGUGUUUGAUCCGGCGUGGAAAUGCGGACACCCCAGAGGGACCCCGAGACACAUCUCCCAACUCGGAAACUUCCACAUCUACCACUCACAGUGUGUGUGGUGGCUUCUCUGAGACCUACGCUGCCCUGUGUGACUACAAUGGACUCCACUGCCGAGAGGAGGUGCAAUGGGAUGUGGACACCAUCUACCAUGCUGAGGAUAACCGAGAGUUCAAUCUUUUGGAUUUCAGCCACUUGGAGAGCCGAGAUCUGGCCCUCAUGGUGGCCGCCCUGGCCUACAACCAGUGGUUCACCAAACUCUACUGCAAAGACUUGAGACUGGGCUCAGAAGUGCUAGAACAGGUGCUACAUACCCUCAGCAAGUCGGGGAGCCUCGAAGAGCUGGUGCUGGACAAUGCUGGGCUUAAGACGGACUUUGUCCAGAAGCUGGCCGGGGUGUUUGGGGAGAACGGGAGCUGUGUGCUGCAUGCGCUCAUUCUGUCCCACAACCCCAUCGAGGACAAGGGUUUCCUCAGCCUGAGCCAGCAGCUCCUCUGCUUCCCUACGGGCCUCACCAAACUGUGCCUGGCCAAGACUGCCAUCUCUCCUCGAGGGCUCCAGGCACUGGGCCAGACCUUCGGGGCCAACCCAGCCUUUGCCAGCUCCCUCCGAUACCUGGACCUGAGCAAGAACCCAGGGCUGCUUGCCACAGACGAGGCCAAUGCCCUCUAUAGUUUCCUGGCCCAACCCAACGCCUUGGUACACCUGGACCUUUCAGGGACUGACUGUGCCGUUGACAUGCUUCUGGGCGCCCUCCUUCAUGGCUGCUGCUCUCACCUCACCUACCUCAACCUGGCUCGAAACAGCUGCUCCCACAGGAAGGGCCGGGAGGCCCCGCCAGCCUUCAAGCAAUUCUUCAGCAGCGUCUACACCCUGAGCCAUGUCAACCUGUCAGCCACAAGGCUGCCCCUGGAGGCCCUCAGGGCACUUCUUCAGGGCCUCUCCCUCAACAGUCACCUCAGUGAUCUGCACCUGGACCUUAGCAGCUGUGAGCUCCGCUCAGCAGGAGCCCAGGCCUUGCAGGAGCAGCUGGGGGCUGUCACCUGUAUAGGCAGCCUAGAUCUGUCUGAUAAUGGGUUUGACUCAGACCUCCUGACGCUGGUGCCUGCACUUGGCAAGAACAAGUCCCUCAAGCACCUAUUCCUAGGAAAGAACUUCAAUGUCAAGGCCAAGACUUUGGAAGAGAUCCUGCAUAAGCUGGUGCAGUUGAUCCAAGAAGAGGACUGUUCCCUGCAGUCGCUGUCCGUGGCAGACUCCAGGCUGAAGCUUCGCACCAGCAUCCUUAUCAAUGCCCUGGGCAGCAACACGUGCCUGGCCAAGGUGGAUCUGAGUGGCAACGGCAUGGAGGACAUCGGGGCCAAGAUGCUGUCGAAGGCGCUGCAGAUAAAUUCUUCCCUCAGAACUAUACUAUGGGAUCGGAACAAUACGUCUGCCCUGGGCUUCCUGGACAUUGCAAGGGCCCUGGAGAGCAACCAUACACUGCGCUUCAUGUCCUUCCCUGUGAGCGACAUCUCUCAAGCUUACCGCAGUGCCCCUGAGCGCACCGAGGAUGUGUGGCAGAAGAUCCAGUGGUGCCUGGUGAGGAACAACCACUCCCAGACAUGCCCUCAGGAGCAAGCCUUCAGGCUGCAGCAGGGCCUGGUGACCAGCAGCGCCGAGCAAAUGCUGCAGCGGCUGUGUGGACGAGUGCAGGAGGAGGUGCGGGCCCUGAGACUAUGUCCCCUGGAGCCAGUGCAAGAUGAGCUGCUCUAUGCCCGGGACCUCAUCAAGGACGCCAAGAACUCCCGGGCGCUCUUUCCCAGCCUCUAUGAGCUGGGUCACGUGUUGGCCAACGAUGGGCCUGUGCGGCAGAGACUAGAGUCGGUAGCCAGUGAGGUAUCCAAAGCUGUGGACAAGGAGCUUCAGGUGAUUCUGGAAUCCAUGGUCAGCCUAACACAGGAACUGUGCCCUGUGGCCAUGCGGGUGGCAGAAGGACACAACAAGAUGCUGAGCAACGUGGCAGAACGUGUCACUGUGCCCCGGAACUUCAUCCGCGGAGCGCUGCUGGAGCAGGCGGGACAGGACAUUCAGAACAAGCUGGACGAGGUGAAGCUGUCCGUCGUCACCUACCUGACCAACUCCAUAGUGGAUGAGAUCCUCCAGGAGCUGUAUCACUCCCACAAGAGCCUGGCCCGGCACCUGACCCAGCUGAGGACACUGUCGGAUCCACCCGGAGGGGCAAGCCAAGGGCAGGAUCCAUCUUCCCGAGGCAGAGGCAGGAACCAUGACCACGAGGAAACGGAUGAUGAGCUUGGGACCAACAUCGUGAGCCCCAGUCUUCCCUCCUUGCUUUCACCUGAGUCCUCUCCCUGAACCUACGCGACUGCGGUCACCCCACCACCACCACCACCUCUCGGACUCCACCUCCCUGUGCUAAGCCUCUCCUCCUCCGUGCCUGUCCAGACUCUUCCCUCAUUCCAGAUCCUCAGCCACCUGAGGCAGGGUGGACUCUAAAGAAAAGGCUUUGAGGGUCUGGUCACUUUUUGUCUCCGUUUCUGCAGGACACUAUGGCCAUCAAAAAGCAGAAACGCUGCCGGAAGAUCCGGCCAGUGUCUGCCUUCAUCAGUGGGAGCCCUCAGGACAUGGAAAGCCAACUGGGAAGUUUGGGGAUCCCUCCUGGAUGGUUCUCAGGACUUGGAGCCAGCCAGACCACAGCAAGUGGCUCCUGGGAAGGCCUAUCUGAGCUACCUACCCAUGGCUAUAAACUAAGGCAUCAAACACAAGGGAGGCCUAGGCCUCCCAGGACCACUCCCCCAGGACCUGGCCGGCCCAGUGUGCCAGUGCCUGGGCCUCGUCAGGAGAAUGGGAUGGCCACCCGUCUAGAUGAGGGGCUGGAAGACUUCUUCAGCAGAAGGGUCAUGGACGAAAGCUCCAGCUACCCCCGGACUCUGAGGACCAUGCGACCAGGCCUCUCAGAGCCACCGCUGCCUCCACUCCAGAAGAAGAGGAGGCGAGGCCUGUUUCACUUCCGCCGGCCCCGGAGCUUCAAGGGGGACAGGGGACCAGGUUCCCCCACUGCUGGACUCCUCCUCCCUCCACCCCCACCCCCACCCCCAACUCAGGAGAGCCCUCCCAGCCCAGACCCCCCAAGCCUUGGCAAUAACUCAUCUCCUUGUUGGAGCCCAGAGGAGGAGAGCAGCCUCCUUCCUGGAUUUGGAGGGGCCCGAGGAUCUUCCUUCUGCAGGAAGAUGGGCACAGAGAGGUUGGAGGCAGGAGAGGGAGCCCCAGCCCCUGGGACAGCGCAGCAACCAAGGGUGCACGGUGGCGUUGCCCUUCCUGGCUUGGGAAGAACCAAAGGGUGGAGCUUUGAUGGAAAACGAGAGGGCACAGACCCAGACCAGGAGGACAGUACCCAGGCUUGGCAGAAACGGCGCUCUUCAGAUGAUGCAGGGCCUGGAGCCUGGAAGCCACCACCGCCCCCACAAAGCUCCAAGCCAAGCUUCAGCGCCAUGCGCCGAGCAGAGGCCACGUGGCACAUAGCUGAGGAGAGUGCCGCAAACCACAGCUGCCAAAGCCCUAGCCCAGCUUCCCAGGAUGGAGACGAGGAAAAGCAGGGCGCCUUAUUCCCAGAGAGAAUGGUUCCCACUAGGAAUGCCAAGGAGCCCCCCAUAGGUCCACGUCCCCCUAAGCCAGUGGCUGUGCCCAGGGGCCGCAGGGCCCCCCAGGUGCCAGGAGGCAGAGAAGAGACUGAGAGCAGCAGUGCUGCCCCAGGAGCCAACAAACCCCGGCUGAGACUGGGCUCACAGCAAGACCAAGAGGAGCCAGAAGGACAAGGACCCACUGAUCAGGGCCGCAGGACAGCGCCCCUGAAACCCAAGAGAACACGGCGAGCACAGUCCUGUGACAAACUGGAACCCGAUAGGAGACAACCACCUGACCCUACAGGUGUCUGUGCAGGAACCAGUGAACCAGGAACAGACUGACAGCUGCUGAACACCCUCCCCAGCCUUCCGCGACAUGUGCCUCAUAAGGACUCAGGCCCCAUCCACCCCUGCUCUCCCAUCCCGUGCCAGCCCUCGUCCUACAGGGCAGCAGCACUAAGAAGGCAUAGGGGAGCAGGAGUGGGGACUGGAAGGGAGGGAGUGACCUGAAGCAGGGAGGCUGUCACACCUGCCUGGAGCUGUCUCGACAGAGAGCUUUGGGCAGAGGCUGUCACUUCCCUGGGGGGAGGGUAAACCUCUGCCCCUCUAUGCCCAGGGGCUCUCUCCCCACUUGUAUAGAAUUAAAAAAAAAAUCACUGUCUGCCUCUG
This is an RNA transcript of Mus musculus (house mouse), 5152 nucleotides long. It is a transcript of the gene named capping protein regulator and myosin 1 linker 3, with no coding region annotated. The record is from RefSeq and is marked validated. NCBI's taxonomy places the organism in Eukaryota, Metazoa, Chordata, Mammalia, Rodentia, Muridae. The transcript is spliced from 39 exons.